AGCAGAACAACCCUGAGUGCCUAGCCCUCUAGUGCUCAGCAAUUUCAACACUAAUAACUCAAGCUGCGUGAUCAGGGGGAACUAAAGGGAACCCAGCCUCUGCUGCUGACCAGUUGUGUACCUGCAGGCAAGUC
RNAcentral lists this small RNA (134 nucleotides) under Ovis aries (sheep). RNAcentral describes it as "partial neurotensin receptor type 2". The record is from RNAcentral. Lineage: Eukaryota; Metazoa; Chordata; Mammalia; Artiodactyla; Bovidae.